RNAcentral lists this long non-coding RNA (1746 nucleotides) under Callithrix jacchus (white-tufted-ear marmoset). RNAcentral's name for it is "lncRNA (ENSCJAG00000064453.2)". The record is from RNAcentral. Lineage: Eukaryota; Metazoa; Chordata; Mammalia; Primates; Cebidae.
AAUGUCACAAUACAAAGGCCAAACUCUUUGACAAAAUUUGAGACUAAGGAACCAUCCUCGCCGCAGAGAUUACACCCACACACUGAGAAUAGGAUGAGAUCUCCAUUUUAAUUACAUCACAACUUAAAUUCUCCCUUUAACCAAUCAGUCCUGCUUGUCCCAGUCCUUUAGAGUUGUUGUUCCUGAAUACACUCUCCUAUUAACUUCCGGCAUAUAAAACUCCAAUUUAGAUUCUGUUUCCAUGGAGCAUGACCUAAGAGAACUUUGAGCUUCCCAUCAGUCACUGAACUGAUGUAGGAUAACUCAUAAGAACUGAGCUCUACCUGCCUCAAUUUGAAAACAGGAAUUCCUUUCACAUAUUAUGAAGCCCUAAAAAUGGGACAUAUCACAUCCUUCUUGCCCAUAGGAACACUAGACAGUACUUCAGCACUACACUCGGGAGCCAUUUUCAACAGUGAAAACACAAACAAAAAGAACAAAGAAUGAAAAUGAGAAAUAUGUGGUACUGAACAGACCACAGAAAGGACAGGAUCUUUCCCCACAUCCUCACUGGAUUCCCUGUUCAGCAUUUAGUCUAGCAGAGCCAAAGCCCACAUGCUAUUAACCAGAUGUUUUGCAGAGGCCUGUAAACCCUAAAAUAAUGGACAGCCAGACUGCAUUAGAAGGAAGCAGUCAGGCACACUGAUUUGCUGUUUGCUUUAAACCCUGGUAGCAUGAGGUAAUUUUUGCCUGUCAUCUCCUUUCCGAGUAGGAGGAAUUAUUCACAUGUUAUCAAUGAAGGCACAAUAUAAUGUAAAGGGUUUUCUUCUGUUCUCCAGCUUUUUUGUUUAAGUUUCUGGCAUCCUCUGAAGAGAAAAGGCAAUGCCUAACAGAAAAACUGGCAUAAAAUGAAUACUCCAGAAAUGUCAGUGGUAGUAGAGACAGUAUCCGAGGAAGAAAAGGAUGAAGGGAAGUAACAAAGGAGGGAGGAGAGGAAAUACAGGAGCAGGAAGGUCAGUAGUGUUAAAUAUUGGAAAAAAGUGAGGACAACAAGGACUCAAAAAGCAAGAUCUUUGAUAUGACAAUUAAGUUAUUCAUAAAAAAGGAACAAUUGUUGGAUUGAGAGCCAGUAGCUAGACCAUACGUUUUGAAAGAAAAUGGGGUGAUUCAGGAAAUAUGGUGAAUUAACAACAUGGAUUAAUUUCACUGCCUGGUGAAAUCCAAAAAAAACUGAAGUCCCACUGAAAUAUCAAGUAAUAUUUAACGCAUAAAUCUACAAAUAUGGGGGGAAUAGGAGCAGGUAAAUCAAUAAACUAAAAAUUUUGAAUGCUAGAACAUAGCUGACUAGAAGUUAUCUAGAAGGUAACUGAUGUAGCAGCACAGAGAGAGCCAAACCCUAGGACUUCUAUGGGAAGAGCCAGGGACCGACUUGAGGAACAGAUAGCACUAGGUAACUCUGGGAGUGGUUGGUGAAAUAAAAUGGUGUGUGUGUGUGUGUGUUUAGAGAAAUUAUCUCCUUUCUAAUCACACGAGUUCCAUCUAGGAAAACAACUCCUAAAAUUUCUUGCAAAGACCUCUUCUAUUUUAGCAUGCCUCUGAGCAGACAAUGGCAGGUUCAUACUCUGGAGACAUUAAAGCUGAGAAUCUACCAAGGUUCAGACAGAGAAGCAGGGUGACUAUGAGUGUCAUGCAAUUAGGUGUGUGACAUGGCAACUAGACUUUACACAGCUGUUGAAGACACUGGAGAAUCAGAGAAAUAACCACCUA